GACGAACGCUGGCGGCGUGCUUAACACAUGCAAGUCGAACGGAAAGGCCCUGCUUUUGUGGGGUGCUCGAGUGGCGAACGGGUGAGUAACACGUGAGUAACCUGCCCUUGACUUUGGGAUAACUUCAGGAAACUGGGGCUAAUACCGGAUAGGAGCUCCUGCUGCAUGGGGGGGGUUGGAAAGUUUCGGCGGUUGGGGCUGGACUCGCGGCUUAUCAGCUUGUUGGUGGGGUAGUGGCUUACCAAGGCUUUGACGGGUAGCCGGCCUGAGAGGGUGACCGGCCACAUUGGGACUGAGAUACGGCCCAGACUCCUACGGGAGGCAGCAGUGGGGAAUAUUGCACAAUGGGCGGAAGCCUGAUGCAGCAACGCCGCGUGCGGGAUGACGGCCUUCGGGUUGUAAACCGCUUUCGCCUGUGACGAAGCGUGAGUGACGGUAAUGGGUAAAGAAGCACCGGCUAACUACGUG
This 468-nucleotide ribosomal RNA is filed under the name uncultured bacterium. RNAcentral describes it as "partial 16S ribosomal RNA". It matches the Rfam family "Bacterial small subunit ribosomal RNA", at positions 28 to 507 of the family's 1533-position model. The record is from RNAcentral.